Molecule: long non-coding RNA, 998 nt
Organism: Mesocricetus auratus (golden hamster)
Lineage: Eukaryota; Metazoa; Chordata; Mammalia; Rodentia; Cricetidae
Exons: 3
Source: RefSeq, a predicted model, not a curated record
ACUAUUUCUGGCAGUCUCAGGGAGUCCUUCUGCCGAAGAUAGCUCUCCACCUGCCCGUGACUUCUAACAAGCUCCUAAGCUAAAAAGCUUUAGGUCAAGCCUAUGCAGUCACUUGAACUUAGUAACCGGACACACAGCACCACACCCAAGUGUUGAAUAAAAGCUCUUCUCCGGCUGGCUGUGUGAACUCCAUGAACUGGUUCAUGACUGUGGCUCUCAGUUUGCUCAUCUGUGUAAAACGAGUGGGCUGGACGAGAUGAGAUCAGAGGGUUUUAUUUCCCAGCUAUUGAUGCUUAGUCAUUGCGGACCGAGAUGAGCCCUCCAAGUUCCACUGUCCUCCUCUGUGUAAUUGGAGAUGCUCCCUGCACCUAUGUGGAGCCGUGUAAAACAGCUGCCAUGUGCUAAGCUACAGAAGACACCUAAAGGAUGCUAUCGUACUAUUCAGUUAAAAGUCCAUGUUUGUAUGUGGGCAUUGCAUCACGGGACCCCAAGCCGCCUGACUGCUGCUUCUCCCAGGUGCCCCCCACUGCCUUCCUCCUGCCCAGCCACAGCACAGAGCUUCAGCUCACUCAUGCACGAGCCACAGUGUGGAGCUUCCUUCUUGAACUGCGGUGGCUUCCAUGCUUGUCAGGCUCGAGGAACUAAGCAGCGCCACAGCUCUGCAGGGCUGCCCCGUGCGCGCUGUUCCAUUUGGGCCUCUUCUCAGGCUGACAGUCACCUGCCAUUCCCCCCCUUUGAUCCACGAGUGCUCAAGUUUCUGAGCUAUUCCCCCUUCAUGACGGAUUUUGCUGGGCCCCUGCCUGUCUGCUCCUGCCUGAAAUCUGACUAGAUCUCAGGAAUUCUGCCAGAGCCCGGGAGUUAUCUGGAUGUCUGGGAUUCCCCCUCUUUGGUAGUUUCAUUUUGAGUGGAAUAUAAGGCUAGAAAGACAAUUUACAGAAAGUGUGUCUUAAAAAGAAGUGAAGAAUGUUGAAUUAUAAAUCAGGGAUGAUCCUUCUAAC